AGAUGCGAUCAUACCAGCUCUAAAGCACCGGAUCCCAUUAGAACUUCGAAGUUAAGCGUGCUUGGGCGAGAGUAGUACAGGAUGGGUGACCUCCUGUGAAGUCCUCGUGUUGCAUUCC
This 118-nucleotide ribosomal RNA is filed under the name Zea mays. Lineage: Eukaryota; Viridiplantae; Streptophyta; Magnoliopsida; Poales; Poaceae. The record is from RNAcentral.